RNAcentral lists this ribosomal RNA (511 nucleotides) under uncultured bacterium. RNAcentral describes it as "partial 16S ribosomal RNA". It matches the Rfam family "Bacterial small subunit ribosomal RNA", at positions 28 to 507 of the family's 1533-position model. The record is from RNAcentral.
GACCAACGCUGGCGGCAUGCCUAACACAUGCAAGUCGAACGGACAGAACAGGGAAGCUUUUCGGAGUGGAACUGGAAAGUUAGUGGCGGAUGGGUGAGUAACGCGUGGACAACCUACCUUGUAAAGGGGAAUAACCUCGAGAAAUCGAAGCUAAUACCCCAUAAUAACCUUGCUUCGCAUGAAGUAAGGAGGAAAGGCGGCCUUAGCGCUGUCGAUACAAGAUGGGUCCGCGUCUGAUUAGCUAGUUGGUGAGGUAAAGGCUCACCAAGGCGACGAUCAGUAGCCGGCCUGAGAGGGUGAACGGCCACAUUGGGACUGAGACACGGCCCAAACUCCUACGGGAGGCAGCAGUGGGGAAUCUUCCGCAAUGGGCGAAAGCCUGACGGAGCAAUGCCGCGUGAGUGAAGAAGGCCUUCGGGUUGUAAAACUCUGUCCUUAUCGAAGAGAGAGUGUUGUAGUAACUGACAAUACUAGGACGGUAGAUGAGGAGGAAGCCCCGGCCAACUAUGUG